AUGCUGGAGGAGGUGAAGGUGGUGGAGUGCUGCAUGGUGACGCCCAGCGAGGAGAUGCCCAGGCGCGGACUCUGGCUCUCCCCGCUCGACCUCAUGAUGGUCAACAGGGGCCACACACCGAACGUCUACUUCUACCACUCCGCCUCCGGCGACGGCUUCUUCGACGUGGCCAGGCUGAAGGCCGCGAUGGCCAAGGCCCUGGUCCCCUUCUACCCCCUCGCGGGCCGUCUGGGCGUUGAUGGUGAUGGCCGGCCAGAGAUCGACUGCACUGGACAAGGUGCGCGCUUCGUGGUCGCUCGCUCGGAACUCGCCGCCGACGACUUCAGCGCCCGCCAGCCGUCGCCGGAGCUGAGGAGGCUCUUCGUCCCCGGGGACAUCGACGACGUCAUGCUCGCCGUCCAGGUGACCUUCUUCAAGUGUGGUGGGGUGGCCCUAGGCACGGCGCUGCACCACGUCGCCAUCGACGCCCUAAGCGCGGUCCACUUCAUCCAGACGUGGUCCGCCUUCUCCAGAGACGGGGCCAGCGACGCCGCGGCGGCGCUGGAGCUGCCAUGGCACGACCGCACCCUCCUCCGCGCACGCUCCCCGCCACGCGUCAUCAACCCCGACGCUCUCUCCGUGUUCUUGCCCCUCAAAAACGACCCAAACGAACCGUCUGGAGCUGCCGUCAACGAGAUUUUUGUUCUUUCCAAAGACCACGUCGCCGCUCUGAAGCGUGCCUGCGGUGGCGCGAGCACGUUCUGCGCCCUCAGCGCCCACGUGUGGCGCUGCAUGUGCGCCGCUCGGCGGCUGCCGACGGACGCCGAGACGCGGCUCACCUUCCCGGCUAACUUCCGGCGCAGCCUGCUGAGGCCGCCGCUCCCGGCACGCUACUUCGGCAACGGGAUAAUCAUGGUGGGCACCGCCUGUAAGGUGCGGGACGUCGUCGCGGACGGCUUGGAGGACCAGGCGCCGCUGGCCCCCGUCGCCGGACGGAUCAGGGACGCCGUCCGCGGGCUGGACGACGAGCUGGUGCGCUCCACGAUCGACUACCUGGAGACAACGCCAACUAUGCCUGCGGCGCGCAGCAUGCCGGCGACGGAGCUGAGGAUUAACAGCUGGCUGGGCAUGCCGGUGUACGACGCGGAUUUCGGGUGGGGGAAGCCGCUAGCAAUGCAGCGCGCCGUGCAGCAGCGAGCAGGGCUCGUCUACCUCGCCGACAACGGCGAGGACGGGGGCGUGCGAGUCCUCGUGUCCGAGCCUUCCUCGGUUCUCGAAGCAUUCUGA
Molecule: ribosomal RNA, 1266 nt
Filed under: Triticum aestivum (bread wheat)
Lineage: Eukaryota; Viridiplantae; Streptophyta; Magnoliopsida; Poales; Poaceae
Description: partial small subunit ribosomal RNA
Source: RNAcentral